RNAcentral lists this long non-coding RNA (394 nucleotides) under Salvia miltiorrhiza (redroot sage). Its description in RNAcentral is "long non-coding RNA (SMIL_LNC014100)". Lineage: Eukaryota; Viridiplantae; Streptophyta; Magnoliopsida; Lamiales; Lamiaceae. The record is from RNAcentral.
UCUAUUUCUUAAAAAUGCUUGUAGAGACUCUAAAGAUUUUUAGGAGAAUUGAAAGCAAACUCGAUUGUUAAACUCAAACCCAACUAUAUGCCUAUGGCGCAAAAUAGGUGAAUCUUGGACAAAUUUAAUAUAUUGCAGUGUUGACUAUAUUUUUUUUGGAAAAAUUGUUGACUGUAUUGAAUGAAAAUGAGGAUAGACAACUAAAAUAAAAAAACUUUGAUCAACUAAACAAAAAAGGAAAGAAAAAAAAUAAAAAGGAAAAGAAAGAAAACCGUUGAAGGUUUUAAAAAAUUGUCAAUGUGGGAUUUGACCACGCUCUUUAAAACAUCUCCGACUCAUUUGGUAAGUAUAUGGCUGCCCUUUUUUUAUACAUAAAAAUUGUGAUUUAUUUUUU